GACAGAGGGUGCGAACGUUGUUCGGAAUUACUGGGCGUAAAGCGCGUGUAGGCGGUUCGGAAAGUCGGAUGUGAAAGCCCUGGGCUCAACCCGGGAAGUGCACUCGAAACUUCCGAGCUGGAGUGCUGGAGAGGAAGGCGGAAUUCUCGGUGUAGAGGUGAAAUUCGUAGAUAUCGAGAGGAACACCGGUGGCGAAGGCGGCCUUCUGGACAGUAACUGACGCUGAGACGCGAAAGCGUGGGGAGCAAACAGG
This 253-nucleotide unclassified non-coding RNA is filed under the name uncultured Polyangiaceae bacterium. RNAcentral's name for it is "contains 16S-23S intergenic spacer region". It matches the Rfam family "Bacterial small subunit ribosomal RNA", at positions 524 to 776 of the family's 1533-position model. Lineage: Bacteria; Pseudomonadati; Myxococcota; Polyangiales; Polyangiaceae. The record is from RNAcentral.